RNAcentral lists this long non-coding RNA (488 nucleotides) under Helianthus annuus (common sunflower). Its description in RNAcentral is "hypothetical non coding rna". The record is from RNAcentral. Lineage: Eukaryota; Viridiplantae; Streptophyta; Magnoliopsida; Asterales; Asteraceae.
CACUUAAAGUGUGUGUUCUGGUCGUGACAAUCACAGGAGCCAAGGGAGGGUUCCUUACUCAAACCCUAACUUGCCUAAAUCCAAGAAAUUGAGAGGCCAAAUCAGUCCCAAAUCGAAAUCCAAGCUCGUAUUCAUGAACACCAAGUUGAAAGGAUCACAAGUUUGACGCGUAACAAGCUAGGUGGAAGCUUGGAGUGAAAGCGGGUCAAACAAGUCAAGCAUGGAAGAAAAGCGUAGCUCGGAUGCAAGGUAAGUGAAACUUACAUAAUUGUGUAGAUUACUUGUUCAUUCUAUACGUUAUAGAUGCAAUAAUGCUAAUAUUGAAAAUAUGGAUUUCCGACGUGAUUGAUACGAGUCGGAACAUAUAAAGAUGAUAAAAACCAUGUUUAUGGCAAAAAAAAGGGGAUUCGGUAAUGAAAUCCGGGACGGGAUGGAUGUAUGAAUUAGAAGUCAAAAACCAUGUUUUUGAUUUAAUAGGCAACGUUGGG